AUGAACGCUGGCGGCGUGCCUCAUCCAUGCAAGUCGAGCGAACAGACGAGGAGCUUGCUCCUCUGACGUUAGCGGCGGACGGGUGAGUAACACGUGGAUAACCUACCUAUAAGACUGGGAUAACUUCGGGAAACCGGAGCUAAUACCGGAUAAUAUAUUGAACCGCAUGGUUCAAUAGUGAAAGACGGUUUUGCUGUCACUUAUAGAUGGAUCCGCGCCGCGUUAGCUAGUUGGUAAGGUAACGGCUUACCAAGGCAACGAUGCGUAGCCGACCUGAGAGGGUGACCGCCCACACUGGAAGUGAGACACGGCACAGACUCCUACGGGAGGCAGCAGUAGGGAAUCUUCCGCAAUGGGCGAAAGCCUGACGGAGCAACGCCGCGUGAGUGAUGAAGGUCUUCGGAUCGUAAAACUCUGUUAUUAGGGAAGAACAAAUGUGUAAGUAACUAUGCACGUCUUGACGGUACCUAAUCAGAAAGCCACGGCUAACUACGUG
RNAcentral lists this ribosomal RNA (496 nucleotides) under uncultured bacterium. RNAcentral describes it as "partial 16S ribosomal RNA". It matches the Rfam family "Bacterial small subunit ribosomal RNA", at positions 29 to 507 of the family's 1533-position model. The record is from RNAcentral.